CCGUGCAAGCCUCUGGGUUACACACCCGGGGACGCCGGGGCCCAGAGGCGUAGAUUAGCCCAGGCAGGAAAACCGAGCGUGGUGACUGGUCCUCCGCAGAUUAGAAACAGAUUGUUGGAGAAGGGGGGUCGGGGGCGAGACUGUGCACGGCAGCAUGGCUGGAGUCUGGGUGUGGGGCCCCGGCGAGCAGGCCGGGCGCGGAGGGGGCAGAAGAAGGAGUGCGGAUAAUGCUCUGUUUGUGAGCUGAGAUUCCAGCUCCUGGGGUGGCCCCUGGCAGCUGCCUAGGCCUCACAGGGAGAAAUCGGGAACAACAAAGGCGCUGGGACAAAAGCGGCUCUGGCCAGAGGGGCUUCGGGCUCUGUGGGGCCAACAGCACUUCAGUUCUGAGGGGCACGGCUCCACCCUGGUAUGAGGCUGGAGGCGGACUGUCAAAUGGAGCUGACUGAGGAAAGGGAACUCAAGUUUUCUGGGUUACUGACACCGAGUUGUCCCAAAUCACAUCAGUGCCUGUUGAAAUGUUACCUAUCGGCCAGCUGGGAAUUUUGUCACUGGGAAACCGGUAUAGCAAGCGCCCGUUAGCUUCCCGCCCAGGCAAGGACAUUGAGGGGUGUGAAGACCAAAGUAUGUCUUCAUGUCUUUGCUUCUGAGCUGACACUCGCGAAACUGUGGGACCCACAGCCCCUCAAAUCCCCCUUCUUCUGCCAGCUCCUCAUACCUGCUGAGCAAUCAUGAAAAUUCUCCCGCAGCCUGUACUCUAGCGCCCCCUGCUGGGAAUGACUGCUAACUCGUGGCUGAUUUGGCUGGGAAUCUGGCUGAUAGCAGCUAGGUUAACGUCGCCUCGCCCAGCUUUAUGAGGCCCACCUGGCCUUUCGCUCGGCCAACCUGUGAAUCCCAGGCUGCUGAAAUGGAGCAGGUGAACUUAACCACUACGCCGCUGGGCCAGCCUGGAAUCUGUGCUUUUAAGACUCUGAUGAUAAGCACGUUUGGCAAGAACUGAACUAGACACCUGGUCCACAGGCCUCUGUGUUCCAUAGUCUGGCCUCUCCAGGGGAGGAAGAGUCGGUUAGUUUAGCUCAAAACAGGGCUGGGAAUGGAAGACUACUGAACCCCAGAAGACGGAAGUCGGCAAGAAGCUAUGAAGGCAGAGAAGCGAUUUGAAUUCUGGCCUGGGGAAGAGCAUUGCAGUCUGAACCCUCCCGGGUGGGGCUCUCCUUGGCCAGCUCACAGCUGCCGGCAGAAGACCCCUUCUCGUGAUAAAAUAAGCGAAGAGUAAGUGUAUAUUUGUCUUCUGAGUUCUCAGCAAGAUCUGGAUGGAGCUGAUUCAGGGCUCCUCAUUAGGCCACCGAUGCAGCGCGGACCUGUUCUCCAUUUGAGUUGGCAGACCCUGAAGCCCCAUUAGCGGUAAUAUGCCCCCGCGGGACUCCAGGGAGAGGAAGAAUGCUGAAAGGACUGGAGUUUCUGGUCCAACUUUUUAAAGAAAGGAAGAGAAUGAAAGACCCAUAAAACUUGGAAAUCCUCUCUUCCCUUGGCUCAUUCACAUGGAAAUGCAAGCCUGAUGAUCAUGGACAGGGAAGUGAGGGCCCUAGGAGCGAGGAUCAGGGUGACCUCCAGCCCCUCUGCUCCGGCCGCAUGUGCCAGCAGGACUCACCUCCUGAGCCACCAGCGUGAAAUAGAAAGACUUUACGGUCACAUCUUUGGAUGCUUGGCAGGAAGAACCAUGAGUGUCCCAAUUACUAAACUAAUAAGCACUCAAGACCCCAAAGAACCCUUCCUGGUGCACGUACUCCCAAGUAUUAGGUGCUGGGAAAACAGCUCAUCAAGCACAAGAAGCCCCUUUGAUUGCUGUAUUCAUGAUAUGGAGCAGAAAAAGGACAGUAGUAAUGACAUUGGCUGUGGCUGUCAAAGGUUCCUCCAAGGGCUGCACAGGCUGGGUAUGAGGCUUGGGCCUGGUGGGUGUCAGGGUUAAAGCAGGGAAAGGAAGCUGUGUAUCCUGUUCCUUGAAACUUAAAGAAACAGGUACUGAAACAAGAUCGCUGUUUUGCAACCUGAUCUCUUGAUGACAGAUGUAGAGAGCAGCAUCACCUUUGCUAUAAUCACUCUGCUUAACCUGUACGCGCCUGCCCUGAGCACAGCAUGACAGUCAAUGCAUGGGGAAGUGCCAACCCUCAUUCCAGUGGCACAGCCUUCACCUCCAUUCAUUGGAUUCUCAGCCUGUCCUCAUGGCCACUCAGGGAGGCAGGCAGAGUGCUGUUAACCCUCCCAUCUUACAAACGAGGGAAUUGAGUCUCUGCAUGUAAAUGAUCUGACUAUGAUUAGCAGAGUUAAGAGUCAAACCCAGAACUUCUGAUCAACUCCAGUACUUUUUCCAGGAAUUCACCUUCUAGAGAGAUUUCAAGUUAACCUGUGUGAUUAGGAUUGGGAAGGGGCAUCAACUUUGGGACUGUGAAUAACCCUCAGUUUGAAGACAAGUUUUAUGACAUGGGCUUCCUGAAGAUCCACCAAUUACCAGACUUUAAGUGACCUGAGCUGAGGUUCUCAUCUCACGGGACAGCCGAAUAUUAAUAUCAUCAAAACAGAUGUAUGGCACCCUUCACAAAGUUGACUCCCCAUACAUGGUUUCACAUUCUGCUUUCUAGCUGGCAUCAGGUUCACAUUCCCUUUGUGGCUCACUUGCUCCUCCUUCCAUAGCUGCUGACCUCUUUCUUUUCUUUCCUUGGGUAUAUGCCCUUCUUGCUGCCCUCUCAGCCAUGCUGUUUGUUAUUGGAGGCCAGAAAAUCUGUGUCCAUCAGAGGAAAGAAAAUAAAGUCAUUCAAUGAAGCCUCAAAUAUGUGGGUGCCCUAUGAACACCAGAAGUUCUCAUCACGCCACAUAUUAUGUAUCUGGAGUGCACUUUACCCAUCAGAUCACGGUGGUGCUGUGGAGCUACACCAGCCGGCGAAUGACCUCGGCCUCCUAGAGUUCUGCCCAGGGGUUUGGAAGACAGAGAUUGCCUCGUUUUACAAGCGAGAGGUGAUUUUCCUAGUUACUCAGCCAGUCAGUGGCAAAACAGAGGCUCAUUUCUACUGGUGUUAUUCUCUUUUUUCCUAUAAUUUGUAACAGUGAAAGAUUGAGAGGAAUACCCGGGACCAUUUUAGAUGGGAAAAUCAAUCAUUACAAGUUCCACACUGCCUUCCCACAUAGUUUUUCUGAAGGACCUAAGGGUGAGCCAAAAGGGUCUUGCUGAGAGGUGCUUGAGGGGAAGAUCUUAAAGAAAAAGAUCAAUCUGUCCUUUCCUUCUAGACUGUCUUAGUCUUUCCCUACAUUCCUUAAAGGUAUGAGUAGGAAGUGGGGAACGAGGUCCCAUAAUCCUCAAUGCAAAAGGACUGUAAUUACCUCACCUGGAUCUGAGACCUGAGAACAUUAGAACUAGCCAUGUAGGGUGCCUCAGGCGGAGGCUUUUUUGCAAUCUUAAACUUGAAUCCCAGAUUACAAAACACGAUGACUACUCCAUAAAAGGCCUGUAAAUAACACUUCUCCCCAAAGACAAAUUUGCUGUGAAGCAUUGUGUCUUUGUCCACAGCUGAGCAGCCUAAAGGACUCACCAACCUGGGUUUUCCCUGACAGUGACAUUAUUUUGCAACUUCAAAAGCUGUGACUCAUUCUGGCAAAGGUUUGCUUUAUAUUGUGAGUUAAUUUAUGCAGAAAGUAUUAUAAAGGUGUAAAAAUAAAAGUGCAUGUGAUCAUGCACUUAGCUAAACACAGUUAUGAAAAAGAAUAAAUACAUGAAAUUAAGACUGCCCCUAGUAAUGUUUUUCAUGGAAAGAAUCAUGAGUUGCUAGUUUGUUUUUUUAAGUUUAUUAAAUUUUAGAUAUGUUUGGUUACUUUCUUUUUAUUUUUU
Molecule: long non-coding RNA, 3877 nt
Organism: Equus quagga
Lineage: Eukaryota; Metazoa; Chordata; Mammalia; Perissodactyla; Equidae
Exons: 3
Source: RefSeq, a predicted model, not a curated record